CAGUCGCCGCGGUAAUACGAAGGGGGCUAGCGUUGUUCGGAAUUACUGGGCGUAAAGCGCACGUAGGCGGAUAUUUAAGUCAGGGGUGAAAUCCCGCAGCUCAACUGCGGAACUGCCUUUGAUACUGGGUAUCUUGAGUAUGGAAGAGGUUAGUGGAAUUGCGAGUGUAGAGGUGAAAUUCGUAGAUAUUCGCAGGAACACCAGUGGCGAAGGCGGCUAACUGGUCCAUAACUGAUGCUGAGGUGCGAAAGCGUGGGGAGCAAACAGGAUUAGAUACCCCUGUAGUCCCUGUCUCUUAUAC
RNAcentral lists this ribosomal RNA (301 nucleotides) under uncultured bacterium. RNAcentral describes it as "partial 16S ribosomal RNA". It matches the Rfam family "Bacterial small subunit ribosomal RNA", at positions 509 to 807 of the family's 1533-position model. The record is from RNAcentral.